This 467-nucleotide ribosomal RNA is filed under the name uncultured Magnetospirillum sp. RNAcentral's name for it is "bacterial SSU rRNA". It matches the Rfam family "Bacterial small subunit ribosomal RNA", at positions 85 to 587 of the family's 1533-position model. Lineage: Bacteria; Pseudomonadati; Pseudomonadota; Alphaproteobacteria; Rhodospirillales; Rhodospirillaceae. The record is from RNAcentral.
UUCGGACUUAGUGGCGCACGGGUGAGUAACACGUGGGAAUAUACCCCUUGGUGGGGAAUAACAUCGGGAAACUGAUGCUAAUACCGCAUACGCCCUUCGGGGGAAAGAUUUAUCGCCGAGAGAUUAGCCCGCGUCCGAUUAGCUAGUUGGUGAGGUAAUGGCUCACCAAGGCGACGAUCGGUAGCUGGUCUGAGAGGAUGAUCAGCCACACUGGGACUGAGACACGGCCCAGACUCCUACGGGAGGCAGCAGUGGGGAAUAUUGGACAAUGGGGGAAACCCUGAUCCAGCCAUGCCGCGUGAGUGAUGAAGGCCUUAGGGUUGUAAAGCUCUUUCACCCACGACGAUGAUGACGGUAGUGGGAGAAGAAGCCCCGGCUAACUUCGUGCCAGCAGCCGCGGUAAUACGAAGGGGGCUAGCGUUGUUCGGAAUUACUGGGCGUAAAGCGCACGCAGGCGGUGGUCAUAG